UUGUUCGGCUUUAUGAGAUUGUUCUAUUGGAGCUCACCUUCAAUUCCAAGCCCAUCAUCACUGAUCUGACGAUAGUUGCAGGAGAGCAUAGAUCGCACGGUGAGGGCAUCGCAGAUGCUAUAUGCUCUAGGAUUAUUGAGGGUAUUAGCUAGACAUUUGGAAGCGUAUCUGUUCGAAGGUUCCAGCUAAGCAAAAACUGCCUUCUUUAUACCUUUUGGAUAGCAUUGUGAAGAAUAUUGGCAGUGAAUAUGUUAAGUAUUUCUCUGCCCGCUUGCCUGAGGUUUUCCGUGAGGCCUAUGCACAGGUCCACCCCAACAUGCAUCCUGUAAUGCGCCGUCUUUUUAAUACCUGGUCAACGGUGUUCCCAACAUCAGUACUUAGAAAGAUUGAGGCACAGUUGCAAAUUUUUCCUUCUGCAAACCAUCAGUCUUCCGAUGUGACUCUCUUGAGAGCUUCCGAGUCUCCACGGCCUACGCAUGGCAUACAUGUUAAUCCAAAAUAUUUGGAAUCCCAGCAUUACCGUCGACAUUCAACUGUAGAUACAGUGAGCUUUUAGUGAAGUCUUUAUUGUUUCUACUAUUUACCACUCUUUUCCUUUCUCUUGCGAAUAUCAGCUUAACCAUUGCUGUAGAAUAACUAUAUUCAGCUUUUAUGUUGUAAAUGCUAUUUCAUUUGAUAUUAUCAGUAUAACUACCUUCAAAAAUAUUGAUAGCAGUGCUGUGAUAUAUCAUUGUUUUCCUUC
Molecule: RNA transcript, 742 nt
Organism: Olea europaea var. sylvestris
Lineage: Eukaryota; Viridiplantae; Streptophyta; Magnoliopsida; Lamiales; Oleaceae
Gene name: polyadenylation and cleavage factor homolog 4-like
Exons: 4
Source: RefSeq, a predicted model, not a curated record